RNAcentral lists this non-coding RNA (31 nucleotides) under Homo sapiens (human). Lineage: Eukaryota; Metazoa; Chordata; Mammalia; Primates; Hominidae. The record is from RNAcentral.
UAAUGAGAAUGAAACACAGGGAUGGCUGAGU